CACAUACUCCCUUUGUCCGGAAUUACUUGUCGUAGAAAUGGAUGUAUCUAGACAUAUUUUUAGUUCCAGAUACAUCCAUUUCUAUCCAUUUCUGUGACAAGUAAUUCGGGAUGGAGGGAGUAUUUG
Non-coding RNA from Triticum aestivum (bread wheat), 126 nucleotides. Lineage: Eukaryota; Viridiplantae; Streptophyta; Magnoliopsida; Poales; Poaceae. The record is from Rfam.